Molecule: ribosomal RNA, 420 nt
Filed under: uncultured bacterium
Lineage: Bacteria
Description: bacterial SSU rRNA
Rfam family: Bacterial small subunit ribosomal RNA
Source: RNAcentral
GAGGAAUAUUGGACAAUGGGCGGUAGCCUGAUCCAGCCAUGCCGCGUGCAGGAAGAAUGUCCUAUGGACUGUAAACUGCUUUUGUACGGGAAGAACCGGGGGCACGCGUGCCCCCCUGACGGUACCGUAAGAAUAAGGAUCGGCUAACUCCGUGCCAGCAGCCGCGGUAAUACGGAGGAUCCGAGCGUUAUCCGGAAUCAUUGGGUUUAAAGGGUCCGUAGGCGGGCCGUUAAGUCAGGGGUGAAAGUCUGCGGCUCAACCGUAGAACUGCCCUUGAUACUGGCGGCCUUGAGUUAUGGUGAAGUAGCCAGAAUAUGUGGUGUAGCGGUGAAAUGCAUAGAUAUCACAUGGAAUACCGAUUGCGAAGGCAGGCUACUAACCAUAUACUGACGCUGAUGGACGAAAGCGUGGGUAGCGAAC